RNAcentral lists this ribosomal RNA (468 nucleotides) under uncultured bacterium. Its description in RNAcentral is "partial 16S ribosomal RNA". It matches the Rfam family "Bacterial small subunit ribosomal RNA", at positions 28 to 507 of the family's 1533-position model. The record is from RNAcentral.
GACGAACGCUGGCGGCGUGCUUAACACAUGCAAGUCGAACGGAAAGGCCCUGCUUUUGUGGGGUGCUCGAGUGGCGAACGGGUGAGUAACACGUGAGUAACCUGCCUUUGACUUUGGGAUAACUUCAGGAAACUGGGGCUAAUACCGGAUAGGAGCUCCUGCUGCAUGGUGGGGGUUGGAAAGUUUCGGCGGUUGGGGAUGGACUCGCGGCUUAUCAGCUUGUUGGUGGGGUAGUGGCUUACCAAGGCUUUGACGGGUAGCCGGCCUGAGAGGGUGACCGGCCACAUUGGGACUGAGAUACGGCCCAGACUCCUACGGGAGGCAGCAGUGGGGAAUAUUGCACAAUGGGCGGAAGCCUGAUGCAGCAACGCCGCGUGCGGGAUGACGGCCUUCGGGUUGUAAACCGCUUUCGCCUGUGACGAAGCGUGAGUGGCGGUAAUGGGUAAAGAAGCACCGGCUAACUACGUG